GUCGAACGGUAACAGGAAGAAGCUUGCUUCUUUGCUGACGAGUGGCGGACGGGUGAGUAAUGUCUGGGAAACUGCCUGAUGGAGGGGGAUAACUACUGGAAACGGUAGCUAAUACCGCAUAACGUCGCAAGACCAAAGAGGGGGACCUUCGGGCCUCUUGCCAUCGGAUGUGCCCAGAUGGGAUUAGCUUGUUGGUGGGGUAACGGCUCACCAAGGCGACGAUCCCUAGCUGGUCUGAGAGGAUGACCAGCCACACUGGAACUGAGACACGGUCCAGACUCCUACGGGAGGCAGCAGUGGGGAAUAUUGCACAAUGGGCGCAAGCCUGAUGCAGCCAUGCCGCGUGUAUGAAGAAGGCCUUCGGGUUGUAAAGUACUUUCAGCGGGGAGGAAGGGAGUAAAGUUAAUACCUUUACUCAUUGACGUUACCCGCAGAAGAAGCACCGGCUAACUCCGUGCCAGCAGCCGCGGUAAUACGGAGGGUGCAAGCGUUAAUCGGAAUUACUGGGCGUAAAGCGCACGCAGGCGGUUUGUUAAGUCAGAUGUGAAAUCCCCGGGCUCAACCUGGGAACUGCAUCUGAUACUGGCAAGCUUGAGUCUCGUAGAGGGGGGUAGAAUUCCAGGUGUAGCGGUGAAAUGCGUAGAGAUCUGGAGGAAUACCGGUGGCGAAGGCGGCCCCCUGGACGAAGACUGACGCUCAGGUGCGAAAGCGUGGGGAGCAAACAGGAUUAGAUACCCUGGUAGUCCACGCCGUAAACGAUGUCGACUUGGAGGUUGUGCCCUUGAGGCGUGGCUUCCGGAGCUAACGCGUUAAGUCGACCGCCUGGGGAGUACGGCCGCAAGGUUAAAACUCAAAUGAAUUGACGGGGGCCCGCACAAGCGGUGGAGCAUGUGGUUUAAUUCGAUGCAACGCGAAGAACCUUACCUGGUCUUGACAUCCACAGAACUUUCCAGAGAUGGAUUGGUGCCUUCGGGAACUGUGAGACAGGUGCUGCAUGGCUGUCGUCAGCUCGUGUUGUGAAAUGUUGGGUUAAGUCCCGCAACGAGCGCAACCCUUAUCCUUUGUUGCCAGCGGUCCGGCCGGGAACUCAAAGGAGACUGCCAGUGAUAAACUGGAGGAAGGUGGGGAUGACGUCAAGUCAUCAUGGCCCUUACGACCAGGGCUACACACGUGCUACAAUGGCGCAUACAAAGAGAAGCGACCUCGCGAGAGCAAGCGGACCUCAUAAAGUGCGUCGUAGUCCGGAUUGGAGUCUGCAACUCGACUCCAUGAAGUCGGAAUCGCUAGUAAUCGUGGAUCAGAAUGCCACGGUGAAUACGUUCCCGGGCCUUGUACACACCGCCCGUCACACCAUGGGAGUGGGUUGCAAAAGAAGUAGGUAGCUUAACCUUCGGGAGGGCGCUUACCACUUUGUGAUUCAUGACUGGGGUGAAGUCGUAACAAGGUAACCGUAGGGGAACCUGCGGUUGGAUCACCUCCUUACCUUAAAGAAGC
This 1494-nucleotide ribosomal RNA is filed under the name Escherichia coli. RNAcentral describes it as "bacterial SSU rRNA". It matches the Rfam family "Bacterial small subunit ribosomal RNA". The record is from RNAcentral. Lineage: Bacteria; Pseudomonadati; Pseudomonadota; Gammaproteobacteria; Enterobacterales; Enterobacteriaceae.